ACAUGCAAGUCGAGCGAAUCGACGGGAGCUUGCUCCCUGAGAUUAGCGGCGGACGGGUGAGUAACACGUGGGCAACCUGCCUAUAAGACUGGGAUAACUUCGGGAAACCGGAGCUAAUACCGGAUACGUUCUUUUCUCGCAUGAGAGAAGAUGGAAAGACGGUUUACGCUGUCACUUAUAGAUGGGCCCGCGGCGCAUUAGCUAGUUGGUGAGGUAAUGGCUCACCAAGGCGACGAUGCGUAGCCGACCUGAGAGGGUGAUCGGCCACACUGGGACUGAGACACGGCCCAGACUCCUACGGGAGGCAGCAGUAGGGAAUCUUCCGCAAUGGACGAAAGUCUGACGGAGCAACGCCGCGUGAACGAAGAAGGCCUUCGGGUCGUAAAGUUCUGUUGUUAGGGAAGAACAAGUACCAGAGUAACUGCUGGNACCUUGACGGUACCUAACCAGAAAGCCACGGCUAACUACGUGCCAGCAGCCGCGGUAAUACGUAGGUGGNAAGCGUUGUCCGGAAUUAUUGGGCGUAAAGCGCGCGCAGGUGGUUCCUUAAGUCUGAUGUGAAAGCCCACGGCUCAACCGUGGAGGGUCAUUGGAAACUGGGGAACUUGAGUGCAGAAGAGGAAAGUGGAAUUCCAAGUGUAGCGGUGAAAUGCGUAGAGAUUUGGAGGAACACCAGUGGCGAAGGCGACUUUCUGGUCUGUAACUGACACUGAGGCGCGAAAGCGUGGGGAGCAAACAGGAUUAGAUACCCUG
RNAcentral lists this ribosomal RNA (753 nucleotides) under Bacillus sp. LKS-79. RNAcentral describes it as "bacterial SSU rRNA". It matches the Rfam family "Bacterial small subunit ribosomal RNA", at positions 53 to 789 of the family's 1533-position model. The record is from RNAcentral. Lineage: Bacteria; Bacillati; Bacillota; Bacilli; Caryophanales; Bacillaceae.